CCUACGGGUGGCAGCAGUGAGGAAUAUUGGUCAAUGGCCGAGAGGCUGAACCAGCCAAGUCGCGUGAGGGAAGACGGCCCUACGGGUUGUAAACCUCUUUUGUCGGGGAGCAAAGCGAACCACGUGGGGUUCAUUGAGAGUACCCGAAGAAAAAGCAUCGGCGAACUCCGUGCCAGCAGCCGCGGUAAGACGGGGGGUGCGAGCGUUAUCCGGAUUUAUUGGGGUGAAAGGGUGCGCAGGCGGAGGUGCAAGUCAGCGGUCAAAUUGCGGGGCUCAACCCCGUACUGCCGUUGAAACUGCAUCCCUUGAGUGCGCGAGAAGUAUGCGGAAUGCGUGGUGUAGCGGUGAAAUGCAUAGAUAUCACGCAGAACUCCGAUUGCGAAGGCAGCAUACCGGCGCGCAACUGACGCUCAUGCACGAAAGCGUGGGUAUCGAACAGGAUUAGAUACCCUUGUAGUC
RNAcentral lists this ribosomal RNA (459 nucleotides) under uncultured bacterium. Its description in RNAcentral is "partial 16S ribosomal RNA". It matches the Rfam family "Bacterial small subunit ribosomal RNA", at positions 338 to 795 of the family's 1533-position model. The record is from RNAcentral.